AAUAUCCACCACAAGAUCAGACAACACUUCCGAUUCCUAUCAUUAUGUUAAGUCUGUUGACUGUUGUGCUGUUUGCUGCAGUAAUAGGUUUAUUAAUGAUGAACCAUAAACGGUCUAAGAAAAUUCCUAAAUAUGUCAAUGCUCAUCAGAUUUCUACUUUGAAGUUUCGUGAGAGUAACAGAGGAAAAACAGAUCCUGAAUAUCUAGAGGUGCUGCCAAAUUUCUAGAGGUCCUGUAUGAAACAGUGUUGAUUUAUUGCUGUUUGCUUCAAAUGAGCAGAAUUCUGCGCUGCUUGAACAUGUAAUGAAAUGAUUUGCUCUUGUCUGUUCAUUAUAAUACAUGACUAAAAUCUGUCUGCAAUGAAAA
This is a long non-coding RNA of Sinocyclocheilus grahami, 366 nucleotides long. RefSeq lists it as uncharacterized. NCBI's taxonomy places the organism in Eukaryota, Metazoa, Chordata, Actinopteri, Cypriniformes, Cyprinidae. The record is from RefSeq and is a predicted model, not a curated record. The transcript has 3 exons.